This 256-nucleotide non-coding RNA is filed under the name Alkalibacter saccharofermentans. RNAcentral's name for it is "T-box sequence". It matches the Rfam family "T-box leader". From Rfam's summary of the family: Uncharged tRNA acts as the effector for transcription antitermination of genes in the T-box leader family. T-boxes are found upstream of many aminoacyl-tRNA synthetase genes and some amino acid biosynthetic genes usually in Gram-positive bacteria. The record is from RNAcentral. Lineage: Bacteria; Bacillati; Bacillota; Clostridia; Eubacteriales; Eubacteriaceae.
AAAAAUGCGAUGACGAAGAGAAAAAUACCAUAGUUUUUGACCCAGAGAGCCGGUGGUUGGUGAAAACCGGUGUCAAGGCGGUAUGCAAUACUCACUUUCGAGCACUUUGACUGAAAAAAGCUGAUUUUAGUAGGUUGAAGCGGAAUCCACCGAUAAAGGGAUAAGGAUUGGGCAGAUUUUGCAGAUCCGACAACGAGACAGCGACUUAGGCUGUGAAUUAGGGUGGUACCACGAGAUAAUAUCUUUCGUCCCUAUA